UAAAUGGUUACUUUAUCAUCCCUAAUAUUUAGACACUAUAUUUUCAUAGUAUGGUAAACAAAUGUGAUUAAUUGUGUACUACAAAUAACAAAAUAUCUCUUAUUAAAAUGGAAUAAUUUACUUAAAUUCAAAAAUUUACAAGGAUUAUUUCAAGGUGUGAAUAAAGAAGAGGUUAAAAAAAAUUAGAAGGUUCUAGUUAUGGAUUUAAUAAAAAAAAAAUGUGUUCCUAGAAGUGAGUAAAUAAAAGGGUUUAAGCAAAUGAUAAAGAAGGUCUAUGUAUGUUGGCUAUAUAGGUUUAAGCAAGUGAUAAAGAAGGUCUAUGUAUGUUGGCUAUAUAUGUAAGUUUUUUAAGCAAAUAAUCUUGAAGAAAUUAAAGAUUAUACAACUAUGGUUAAACAACAACUAUUAUUUUGCAAUAUUCUAAUAUGUUAUUUCUUUUAGAGCUAAACUUAAUUAAUAUAAAAACAUCAAUAGUAAUUAUGGUACUAUUACUCUUCUUUGUAUAUUAAAUUUGUUCAUAUUUUCCAGGUAUAUGUCAUUAAGAUAGAAACUUUAAAAAAAUUAUAUCAAGCUGGUAUUCUCCAAAAGGUUACAUGGUAAUUUUAGGCUUAUAAAAAUGACAUAUUAGAAAUUUAUUUAUAUCAUUUAAUUUCUAUAACUGGGCCUAUUAUCAAUAAGAUAUAUAAAGUUUUGUGUUAUUUUUUACACUGAGGUACAAUUUAAAUGUAUUUUUUAGUUAAUGAGAGCCUAAUCUACAUAAAGGUUAAUAUUAUAAAAAACAAAGACAUUUUUCUAUUUUUCUACAAAAAGCUAAAAGCUUUCAGCCUUUCUUUAUUACAUGUUUUAGAUGUAUUAUCAUAUUGUGUUAGUUUUUACUCAAAUAAACUUAAACAAUUAUUUAUAUAAAAUUUUUAAUCUAAUAUUUAAUAAAAACAAAAAUAAACUUUAAAACUACAACACUUUACUUAAAAUUUAUAAAGAGCCCUACUUACCUAAGAUAAGACUCUAUGUCCUAUCUGACUACAUGUAAAAAUAACAACAAAAAUAGUAGGCCAAAUCUCUGUAUAUUUUACUCAUAUCAGAGCACAUUCUACACUGCCAGGACCAUUAACUAAAAAAAAAAAAAAAAAAUCAAAAUAUUGAUCAACUAUUAUUCCCCUUACAAAAGGCUCAUCUAGAACAUGCUUUACAUCAUACAAACACUAAAGGACUUUAUAAAAAAUACAAAAUAACUCAAAAACAAACAUGUGAAAUUAUAGCUAACUGUUCAUCAUGUGCUCCUUUUAAUAUUCCUUAUUGUCCUCCUGGUGUUAAUCCAAGGGGACUCCAUUCUAUUGCUCUUUAACAAAUUGAUGUUGUUAUAAUUCAGUCAUUUGGACAACUAAGAUAUGUACAUCAUACUAUUGACACUCAUACUCAUUUUCUAUGGGCCACAGUUUAUCUUAAAAAAAAAAAAAGCUAAUGCAAUCAUUUCUCAUUUAUUAUCUUGUUUUUGCUCUCAUGGGAAUUCCUUAAGAACUUAAAACUAACAAUGCACCUACAUAUACCUCACAAAAAUCACAUUCAUUUUUACAAAAAUAUGACAUUACACAUACAUUUGGCAUACCUUAUAAUAGUCAGGGUCAAGCUAUUAUAAAAAAGACACAUCAUACGUUAAGAAAAUAUAUACUAAAAAUAAAAAGGGGGGAAUAUGGCUAUGGCUUAUACACCUCAAAAUAUACUUCAUAAAACUUUACUAACUUUAAAUUUUUUAUAUGUCUGGUCAACUUCCAAGGUUCCUGCAGCCCAGCAACAUUUCUCUACAUUUAAAUCUCAGCCAUUAUUUCUAAAAAUUGGAAAUACCUAUGUGGAACAGGGAUGAAAAUAAAGAAUGGAUUUCUAGGUUGUUGCACCACAUGGGGGGGGGGGAUUUGCUCUUAUUUCUACAGGUAAAACACCUUUCUAAGUACCUUCAAGACUUAUCAACUUGCAGAAUGAGUGACCCAUUUGUCAGACAAUUUCAGGAGCUGACUAUGCAAAAAACUUCUACAAUGGCAACGAAAACAGCAGACCCCCCAACAUGGGGACAGAUAAAAAAGUUGACUCAAGAAGCUGAAAAAACCCUUCAAAAGACAAAUCAGCCUUUAAAUCCUGUUAAUAUUUUAUUAGCUAUGCUUGCAGUUAUUAAUUGCCAGGUAAGUAUAGUUUCUGCUCAUUCUUCUGCUUUUUGGGCCUAUGUUCCUAACCCUCCUUUGGUGCACAAUGCUUCCUGGGGAGAACCUAAAGUUCGUGUGUGUACUAAUAAUACUAAUUUUCCCCCCUCCUGCAUGUGGGGGAAUUAAAAAUAUUCCAUUCCAUAAAAAUCUGUAUAAUAUUUCUAAUGUAACUGUAGCUGUUGAAGGAGUCCCAUUGUGUAUAGGGGCUCAUUCUUUCUGUUUGCCUCUUAUAGCACAUAACAACUCUCUUUCUUAUAAUAGUUGGGGAGUUAAUUAUCAUAGUUAUCCUACUGCUGUUUUUACUGUCAUGAUAUCUUCCCGAGGAUUUAAUACCUCUAGUAUGUAUGUUAAUCAAUCAUGGCUAUCAUCUGAAGAAUGCUUUGUCAGAACUCAUCUUCCUUUAUGUUCAGCUAAAUAUUUUAAAACAUUUUUAACUCAUUUAAAGUGGGAAAAAUGUCACAAUCAUCACCCUAAAACAGUAGUCAAAUAUCAAAAUAUCACUAUAGUUGGGUGGAGUCCUGAUCAUUCUGAAUUUAUACAAAGUUGAUCAAAUCGUACUUUAAGAUGGCAUUGACAUAAUGGGACAAUAAAUGCUUGGGGUAAUGAGACAAUUAAAAUGCAACAUUAUGCUUUGGUCCCUCCAAUGUUACAGCAUAUAAGGUUUUCCAAUAUUCAAGGGGAUAUAUGGAAAUUAUGGGCAGUAUCUGGGAAACUCACUGUAUGGACUGGAAAUUUCACGUUAGACGUAUCCCGUUCCUCUCCUUUUGAAGUACAUCUACAUAAUAAUCUGACUUAUUUUGCUUCUGCAUGUGUUAAAUUCCCUUAUUCUCUUAUGAUUGGAAACUGGGAAUGGAAUGUAACUUGGGGAACUAUAUCAUGUAUAGACCGUUAUCUUACUCAAUGUGUAAAUAGAACUAAUUGGGAAUUAAUAGAAAUUAAUAAUUAUUCUUUAGUUAUUGUUAAAGCUCGCACAGAAUUGUGGGUGCCUGUUAAUUUGACUCAUCCUUGCUCUGAUUCAUUGUCUGUUACUCAUUUGUACAAUGCUGUUCAAGUUUUGUUACAUCGCUCUCUACGAUUAAUAGAAAUAGUUAUAGCUUCAUUCCUUGCAGUUGCUUCUGUAACUGCCACUGCUACAGUAGCUGGAGUUGCUUCACAUCAAGACAUUCAAACUGCGAAUUUCGUGAGAACAUGGCAUCAAGAUGCUCAUUUAUUAUGGCAACAACAAAAGGACUUAAACUCUCAAUUGGCUACAGAUGUGAUCAAUUUACAACAUACUGUUUCCUGGCUUGGCGAUCAAGUGACUAUAUUGGCUACCAGAAGUGUUCCGAAGUGUGACUGGAAUUCUUCUCAUAUUUGUGUGACUCCUGUGCCAUAUAAUACCAGUGAUUCCUGGGAAACUGUUAAAAGACGGUUAAAUGGACAUCAAAUUUAACUUUAGAAAUUAUGAAUUUGGAAAAAACUAUUAUGGACACCUUUAGUAAGACAUUACCUGAACUAACAGGAUCUAACAUUUUACAAAAAUUGUCUUCAAGUAUUGCUAAUUUAUAUCCCUUAAGUCAUUUCUCUACCUUGUUGUCAACUUCUUUAGGUAACACUGUAAUAAUUUUUGUUUUGUGUUUUGUUUUGUAUAUAGUCUUCCAACGCUGGAAAAAGCGAAGGCAACUGAAACAUGAAACCUCUCUUUUCCUUCUGCUAUGGCUCUUUUACAAAAACAAAAGGAGGGAAAUACAGAGAAUCAGAUGUGACUGCGUUACUAUUCCUGUCCUUGAUGGAGUUUGCCUACAAACAGGAUAUUCUGUCAAGGUAUAGAUAGGUAACAGCGGACAUGCUUGAAAACGAGGUGUCUGCUGUCCUUGGGAGGGCCUACUUGCAAACGAGAGGCUCCUUCAAGGUUUAGAUAAGGUAACUGCAGACAUGCUUGAAAACAAGGUGUCUACUGUCCUUGGGAGGACUUGCCUGCAAACGGGAUGUUCUGCCAAGUGGGCUAGGAGGGCGCUAAGAAAAAUUUUAUUAUCUGUUCUUAACAAAGAGCAGAGCUCAACAUACUCAGGGCCGAGAAUAGAUUAGCCAUGAGAAGCGGGUCACUUCUGAUUAGAAAGUAAAACUUCUGUAUGCUAUGUUUAAUUAGCUGAAAGACCUGAUUUAUUGAUGUUGGAAGGCUGCCUUCUUUGUUCACAAUACUAUAACAAGAUUGCUGUACACAAUAAAGGGCUUUUUUUCUGCUGCUGCUUUGCUUGCUCUGCUUCUUCUUUCUUUUCCCAUGCUGACCUGCAAGUGAAUUACUGCAACACAGAUUUAGUCUGUGACAUAUUUAAAAAUGUGUGUGCGUGUGUUAUAAUUGUGUGAAAUAUAAUGUGUGAUUUGAGUGUUAUUAGAAAUUAGACUGGGGGGGGCUGGGGUUGUAGCUCAGUGGUUCAGGGCUCACCUAGCACGAGUGAGGCACUGGGUUCGAUCCUUAGCACCACAUAAAAAUGAAAUAAAGGGAGGGCUGUGACUGUGGGUCAGUGAUAGACUGCUUGCCUAGCAUGUGUGAGUCACUGAGUUCAACCUCAGCACCACACAAAUAAAUAAACAGAUUAAAAUGUAUCAUGUCCCUCUAUAACUAAAAAAAAAAUAUUAAAAAAAAAUAAAUUAGAUUAGAAUGGAAUAAAAGAACUUGAGUUUGCCUGGGUUAUGACUAUCAGGUGACCCUCAAGUAUUGUUGAAUUGCCACCACUGAAAGUGGUGUAGCUUGUGAAUUCAUUGUUAUUCAACAAAUUCUGACAUUAUGGAAAAAUGCAAAUGGUUUUGGUUUCUGUUGGUGGCACAGCUUGCUCAUGGCAUGUAUGCAUACAAGAAAAGGAAAAUUUGGACACAGACUCAAAGGAGAAAGUACCACAUGGAGAAGGAGCAGAUUGAAGUAAGGCCAGGGGUCUUCCAGAGGCGGGAAGAGUCAGGGAACAGUCCUGUAGGCUUCAGAGAGAACACAUCCCUGCCAACACUUUAAUCUCAGACUUCUAGCCCUGGAACCAUUAAAUCCAUCUCUGUUGUGCCACCAACACUGCUAUAGCAGCCCUAGAAAUAUUCAUAUAUUUUAUAAAAUCUUUUUGUUUAUAACUUUUUGUUUCUCAUAGAGAAAUACCUAGGAUUGGGGACUGGAGCUGUGGCUCAGUGGUAGCGCACUUGCCUGGCAUGUGUGAGGCACUUGGUUCGAUUCUCAGCAGCAUGUAUAAAUAAAUAAACUAAAGGUCCACUAACAACUAAAAAAAAAAAAAUUAAGUCAUUUUCUGUGCAAUUCAAUAUUAAAAAAAAAAAGAAAGAAAAAAAAUACCUAGGAUUGCAAUUUCUAGGUCCUAGAGUAUCUGUAUCUUUAAACUUUUCUGUUGUUUUUGCAGUACUGGGGAUGAGUCCAGGGCCUUGGGCAUGCUAAGCAAGUGCUCUGCCACUGGAGUGCAUCCCCUAACCUGUAUGCUUAAAUUAAAAGAAACUGCUAAGCAAUUUUUCAAAUUAGUUGUCUAGUUUACACGUCCACAAACAGUAGAUAGCUGAUGCAAUUACUGUACAAACUUUCCCAAAUAUGUGUAGUCAGUUCUAUUUCAGCUCUGCUGAAUGGGUGAAAUGAUAUCUCAUUGUGGUUUUAAUCUGUACUACCACACUACCAGUAGUGGCAAUAAUCCUUCAUGUAGUUAUUGCGUGUGUGUGUGUGUGUGUGUGUGUGUAAUUCUAGUAAAAUCUUUUUAAUAUUGAUUUGCAAAAGUUCUUUAUAUAUUCUGGGUAUCAGGCCUUUGGCACGGUGCUCUGAAUAUUUCUUCCACUGUAUGGCUUUCCUGUUUUGUUUUUAUUAUUAUUAUUGAAAUUGAAAGCCUUUUUUUAUUUAAAACUCACUAACAGGUAUGGUGGCACACACCUGUAAUCCUAGCUAUUCAGGAGGCUGAGGCAGGAAGAUCACAAGUUAAAGGCCAGCCUGGGCAACUUAAUGAGAACCUGUCUAAAAAUAAAACAAAGAGUCUAGCCAAGUAUGCUGGUGCACACCUGUAAUCCCAGCAAUUUGAGAGGCUAAGGCAGGAGGAUCACAGGUUCAGGCCCAGGAAAAUUGCCACAGUGAGGAACCUCCCAUUUCCUGUCCCCAUUGGGUUUCAGCAGAGUGCAGCUUCCCCUGCCUGUGAUGACAACGCGUGGCCCACUCCCACACCUAGAGCUGACACCGUACACCGUGAAACUGCCGCCUAUCUGGACCCUCUGCUUUGACAGCUCUGCCGACUGGAACUGGUCGUUAAAAUCCAGUUCCAGUGACUCUUUGCAUUCAUCUCUCAGUGCUCUUGGCUCAGUAUUCUGUAACCUUGCGGCUGCUUUCUUUCUGUGGCCCAUUUAUAUGUCACUGUGUGAAGUGGGUGUGCCUAGAGGAUGGGAAUAAAAGAACCCGUGACAGCCCGGCUUACGCCCACCAGACGACCCAGGAGCGCUCAGCGAACCUCCGCGGUGGCGGUGGGGGGCAUUCGGCAAGUUCUGACGCUGCGGAGAGGCGGCGGGGCGGCCCGUGUCGAAGGCAGGCUCGCUCAGUCGCUUCCACUGGGCCCCGGCGCUCCACCUCGGUGUGCAGCGGCGUCGCCCUCCUCUUUGGAAGGCUUUACGGGCCCAGGCUCGCACGCCGCGCGUCACCCGUUCAGCGCGCACAACCCCACACUACAGAACUUCGGAAAACCAGAGUCACCCACCUUAAGUGGACUCUGCGGGAGUCACGGAGACCCGGGCGAACCGCGCCGAGCAGCUCGCCCGGCUUCCCUCUCCCGACACCGAGCGGCAGAAAAGAGCGAGCCUGCAGCUCCGACCCACUUCGCCGCCGGGCGGGCCACAGAGUCCCGCCCUCCGCUUUGCUAGAGCGGCCCGGAAGUGUCUCGCGCCCCCGUCCCCGGCCCCCGGGUCGCGAACCAUAGAGCCGAGCGCUCCGCUUUCCUAGAGAGGCCCGUGAGAGUCUGGGGCCACACGGAGGCCGCGCCCAGCUUCUGGCUUGCUGCUGCGGACGGCUCCAGGUGCGGGGGCGUGAGGGCGCGGGAGGGGGCACUGGGGCGACAUCCCCGCGGUGGCGUCGCGAGCGGAGACCCGGCCCCUCGGUGUGGGAGAUGGCCCUACGAGUUUGUCUUGAGCGCCGGGCGGACACGGCCGCGGGGUGCGAAAGGGCCGUUUAUCCGGAAGAGGGGAGCCGGGCCUGGGCAGCGGCAGCACGUCAGAGCCCAGGGGCCUCUGAAUACUCGUGAGGGAGCGCCCUGCUCCCUCUACCCAGCUUGUCGAGGUGGACCGUGCACUCCCCCUGGGGCAAAUGUGUGGGCACGUCGCCCGUGACGACGAUGUCACCACUGUUUUUUCAGGUAGUGCCACAGCCCUCUUUACGUGGUGCACUGCCUCUACCUGGUCCUCCUGCAGGGGAGGCUGAGUGUAGCCCCUGUGCUAACGCGGCCCUUCUUAGUGGGCAGGUUUAGACGCUAGUUUUUGGCUUGGGCAGCUGCAUUUGUAGGCUGGAUUUCCUUUGUGAGGUGAAAAUGAUUAGGUCUUGCAGGGACGUUGUGAAUAUUCUGGGUUGAGUAGUGAGGGGUCCCAACUGCCGUGUCCUGUGCCUGCGGGUAUUUCUCCUAAUAUAAUCUUGUAUCUGUUAGUUUAGGAUUUACAUACGCUCGCUCUCUUUUUUUUUUUUUCUUGGUUCUCUUCCUUUUCACCCACUUCCCUACCAACUCCUGCUCAUCUCAGACGUCACUUCCUCUGAGAAGCCUCCCCUCUUAUCAGGACCCAUGUGGGCCUCUUUUCCACCUGCUCACGGGGUCAUUUCCCUGGUCCCAUCACACCUACUGUCACUGGUACUUCAAUCCAUCAGCAUCCUAAUGGUGGGGUCCACAUGAUCCUUAAGGUCCUAAGGAUGUGGCAGUCACUGGCCUUCCCUCCCCCUUCCCUUCAGGGAGCUGUGGCUGGGACCUCCCCUCUGGCUGAUCAAGGAGGAGGAAGCAGCGAUGUCUGCCUUAGGGACUGCAGCUCCAUACCUGCAUCAUCCUGCUGACAGUCACAGUGGCCGGGUCAGUUUUCUGGGGCCCCAAGUCCCUCCAGAGGUGGCAGCAAUGGCCCGGUUUCUGGGAGACCUGGACAGGAGCACAUUCAGAAAGUUGCUGAAGCUUGUGGUUAGCAGCUUGCAGGGAGAGGACUGCCGAGAGGCCAUGCAGCACCUGGGUGCCAGUUCCAGCCUGCCAGAGGAGCAGUUAGGUGCCCUACUUGCUGGCACACACACACUACUCCAACAGGCUCUCCGGCUUCCCUCUCCCAGCCUGAAGCCUGAUGCCUUCAAGGACCAACUCCAGGAGCUCGGCAUCCCCCAAGACCUGGUUGGGGACUUGACCAGUGUGGUUUUUGGUGGUCAGCGCCCCCUCCUGGACUCUGUGGCCCAGCAGCAGGGUUCCUGGCUUCCCCACAUUGCUGACUUUAAGUGGAGGGUGGAUGUGGCAAUUUCCACCAGUGCCCUGGCCCGCUCCCUGAAGCCAAGCAUCUUGAUGCAGCUGAAGCUUUCAGAUGGGUCAGCAUAUCGCUUCGAGGUUCCCACAGCCAAGUUCCAGGAACUGCGGUACAGUGUGGCGCUGGUCCUGAAGGAGAUGACAGAUCUGGAGAGGAGGUGCGAUCGCAGACUGCAGGACUGAGCCUCCCUUGUCAGCAUUGCAGCUGGUGCCAGAAUGCAACUUGCAUUUCCUCUAGUUGGAUGCUAGACUGCAUGUCACCCCUUCCCCAGGUUUUUUUUGUUGUUGUUGUUGUUGUUGCUUCUGAGUGUGGUAAAGUGACAGUCUGGGGUCCAAAUCAGGGUCCUCUGAAUAUGCCUUUGCUCAGCCUGACCCCACUAAGCAUCUGGGCCCUUUUUCUUGUUUGCUUUCAUAAAUGCUGUUUUUGGUGUGGGCACUUUUGUCUGUCUUAAAUCCCUGCCCUUGUGGGGCUGAUAUCGUUGUGGGUUGGGAAGCGGGGGAAACAUUACAAAAUGCAUAGUAAACAGUGGGUACAGCUUAUCAAGGGGUGACAAAUGUGUACUUAGUUUUGAGCAAGGUGGGGUAUAGGCUGUGAGGACAUGCCUGCCCCUAUACGCUGUAUCAUGGCUGGACUUCCUGGAGAACAUGGUAUCUGAGCAGACUUGAAAGACAGGAGUUGGGGGAAUGAAGUCCACUGGGGGACCAGCUGGUGCACAGGUGAUGAGUAGAGAGAGACCAGGUAUAUUGGAUGUCACGUGCCUCCAACCAAGUAGGAGGAGGUCAUUGGAGGGAGGUAAAGCUGGGGAGGGUACACAGGUCAGGUCUGAGAAAUUCUGCUCAAAGUAUUGUGGUUGAAGUCUAAGCCAAAGUGGGAGUCCCUGAGGGUUUUCAACAGAGGAAGGAUGUACUCUGGUGGUUGUUUUAGAAGGAUAACACUUCUAUUAUUUUAAAGGAUAACAUUAUCCAGGGGUGGUGGUAAAUAUGUGUAAUCCCAGGCACUUGGGAGGCUGAGGCAGGAAGAUUGCAAGUUCAAGACCAGCCUCAGCAACUUAUUGAGACCUUUUCUCAAAAUUAAAAAUAAAAAGGAUGGGGAUGUAGCUCAGUGAUAGAGUGCCCCUGGGUUCAUUAUCCAGUUCCAUGAAAAUAAAUAAGUAAAAGGAUAAUACUGUUUCUGUGUUUAGAGUAGUAUGUAGGGGAACAGGGAGGAGGUUGAGAGUCCACUAUGAGGGGUGCUGUUGUAAGGUGGAGCUGCUGGAUAGGGUAGGGGGCCUUUCUGAGUGCCUCCAGGGUAGCUAUGUUGGGGGGGGGGUGUAUGGCCAGCUUUGUAGUCCUCAGAAUAGCCAUUCUCUGGCUAGGGGUCUUAGGGCUGUCAGACUAUCUGCUUGAGGGGUCCCUGCUUCCUGCACUUUUUUAGUCUACAUCUGGUUGGUUCUCUGCUGAGAAACCAGUUCAUACAUCUCAUAGGAUAAUCAGGCCUAAGUGCAGGAACUUCUGAGAACAGCAAAUAAAGUUUGCUGUUCCGGGCCAGCCUGUUACUCACAUAGGCUGUUUGAAAAAUGCUUGGUUUCUUCCAUCUCAGUGAACACCUUUUUUUCUCUUGAGUGAGAACUACAGCUGUGGCAACUUAGGUGUGGGCCACAGGGAAAGGAAAAGGCUGCCUUUUGAGGACAGAGGGCUGCCAGGGAGGCUGCUGUGUUUCUAGAGCUGGAGGAUUCACAGGCCUGGCUCAGCUAAGGGUGCAGAAUGCCCCUGUGUCCUUCAGCCUCAGCUGGGUCCCCCAGGACCACUGGCCCACCUUGAAGGGAACAAGGAGAUCCAGACCCGCAAAAAAGGAUGUACACAAGUAAGCAGAGUGCCCAUGUCAACCUUAUCCAGUGACAGAGCUUUUUAUGUCACAUACUUAUGAUCUCAACUAUUAGAUGUGUUGGAGACUAUGUACUCAUGAUACAUUUGGAAAUAAAACAGGAAUGUAGGGACAAAAAUUUUUUACUUAAGUCCCUCCAUACAGUGGCACUGAGGCCAGAGGAUCCCAAGUUUGAAGCCAGCCUGGCAACCUAGUGAGACCCUGCAUCAAAAUAAAAAUUUAAAAAUGGCUGGGAAUGUAGUUCAGUGGUGGAGUGUGCCUGGGUUCAAUACCCAGUACUGGAAAGAAAAAAAAAGUCCCUUUGCCCACAUGUAAAGCAUCUUGACACUGCUAUGAGUCUAUCUAACUGUCCACAUGGCUCUGUGGUAAAGUUCAAUCCCCAGUACUAAAAAACAAAAACAAAAAGAACAGAGAAAGAAAGGUGCCAGGCAAAGCAGUCAGAGUGAAUUCUAGGCACACCACUUCUGGACUUCUAACAUGAGCCCAAACACGUCGGCUUCACUUGCUUUAUCUUUUCAAGCUUUUUCACGAAAACAAACUUACAGCCCUUACCUCCACUGGCCAGGGCUCUAGGCACACACUGAAAGGGCAGAGGCAGAGGACUUGGAGAAGCAGGUAAUACCAUGUUCCACCUCACAGAGGGGCUUUGAUGUACCCUGAAUAGAACUGAGUCAAGACCCUUCACUUAGUAGUCUUCGUGUCUGCUUCUUAAGGAGGGAGAAAAACUGUUAAGGAAAACUGUAUUCAGGAUGUAAUGCUUUGUAAGGUCAACUACCCAGGACCACCUCAGAAGGCAGAGGGGAGAUGGCAGCCCAGGCACAUGGGGACAUAUAGGCCAUGAAGCUGGUGGGGGAGUGGAUGGAUAAGAAAACUUGAGUUUAAGGGGACUUCUGGUGAAACUGACCUAUCAGGGUUCUUGUUAAAAUGGGACAGUGCAUAAAAGAACAUGGAAGCUGGAAAGUUGUUAUGGUGAGCAAGCUAUGCCAUUAACACAGACUGCUCAUAUUUGUAAAUUCCACAAUAUCAGAAUUUGUUGAAUAAAUUCACAGGCUACAUCAGUUUUUUCAUCACCGUUAAUUUACUGAUACUUAUGGUGUGACUGUGGUAAUCACAAAUUAUUCUGUUCCAAUUUUAAUUACUAAUAUCGUUAACACCAAAGUGGAUUUAUAAGUUACAGAACCGUUAGGGAAGGGAUAACCAUGGCCUCAGAGUUUGUUUAUUGCAGUGCUGGGGAUGGAACCAAGAGCCUUGUGCUUGCCGGGUAAGAGCUCUCUACCCAUGAGCUAUAUCUCCAAUCAACCCUUUUUUAUUUUAAGACAUGUCUAAGUUGGCUAAGCUAUUCUUAACUUGCAAUCCUCCUGCA
Molecule: long non-coding RNA, 11892 nt
Filed under: Marmota monax (woodchuck)
Lineage: Eukaryota; Metazoa; Chordata; Mammalia; Rodentia; Sciuridae
Source: RNAcentral